Molecule: ribosomal RNA, 429 nt
Filed under: Bacteroidota bacterium
Lineage: Bacteria; Pseudomonadati; Bacteroidota
Description: Bacteroidetes bacterium partial 16S ribosomal RNA
Rfam family: Bacterial small subunit ribosomal RNA
Source: RNAcentral
UAGGGAAUCUUCGGCAAUGGGGGGAACCCUGACCGAGCAACGCCGCGUGAGUGAAGAAGGUUUUCGGAUCGUAAAGCUCUGUUGUUAAGGAAGAACGAGUGUGAGAAUGGAAAGUUCAUACUGUGACGGUACUUAACCAGAAAGGGACGGCUAACUACGUGCCAGCAGCCGCGGUAAUACGUAGGUCCCGAGCGUUGUCCGGAUUUAUUUGGCGUAAAGCGAGCGCAGGCGGUUAGAAAAGUCUGAAGUGAAAGGCAGUGGCUCAACCAUUGUAGGCUUUGGAAACUGUUUAACUUGAGUGCAGAAGGGGAGAGUGGAAUUCCAUGUGUAGCGGUGAAAUGCGUAGAUAUAUGGAGGAACACCGGUGGCGAAAGCGGCUCUCUGGUCUGUAACUGACGCUGAGGCUCGAAAGCGUGGGGAGCGAACAGG